Molecule: long non-coding RNA, 245 nt
Filed under: Brassica rapa (field mustard)
Lineage: Eukaryota; Viridiplantae; Streptophyta; Magnoliopsida; Brassicales; Brassicaceae
Description: long non-coding RNA (BRAP_LNC007385)
Source: RNAcentral
GUUGAUGUCCGUCCGAUCGUGGAGUACAGGAUUAGCGCUCAGCUGAUUUUGUAGUCAAUCGUCUACGUGGUGUACAUUAAUUAGUUUGCUCUUUUUACACUUAUUGGAAUUAAUUAGUUAGGUGGAGAUUAUGUUUAUCCAUGGUAUAUUCGAGUAUUUAUAGAGAGUGAUUGUAUUUAUACUAGGGAAGUAUAUCAUUAAAUCCUCGUCAUCAUUUUCAACCAGUGAUUCAGUGUACAGUCAGA